AUUGAACGCUGACGGCGUGCCUUACACAUGCAAGUCGAACGGUAACAGGUCUUCGGAUGCUGACGAGUGACGAACGGGUGAGUAAUACAUCGGAACGUGCCUAGUAGUGGGGGAUAACUACUCGAAAGAGUGGCUAAUACCGCAUGAGAUCUACGGAUGAAAGCAGGGGAUCGCAAGACCUUGUGCUACUAGAGCGGCCGAUGGCAGAUUAGGUAGUUGGUGGGAUAAAAGCUUACCAAGCCGAAGAUCUGUAGCUGGUCUGAGAGGACGAUCAGCCACACUGGGACUGAGACACGGCCCAGACUCCUACGGGAGGCAGCAGUGGGGAAUUUUGGACAAUGGGCGCAAGCCUGAUCCAGCAAUGCCGCGUGCAGGAUGAAGGCCUUCGGGUUGUAAACUGCUUUUGUACGGAACGAAAAGCCCCGGGUUAAUACCCUGGGGUCAUGACGGUACCGUAAGAAUAAGCACCGGCUAACUACGUGCCAGCAGCCGCAGUAA
Molecule: ribosomal RNA, 498 nt
Filed under: uncultured bacterium
Lineage: Bacteria
Description: partial 16S ribosomal RNA
Rfam family: Bacterial small subunit ribosomal RNA
Source: RNAcentral